GAUGAACGCUGGCGGCGUGCCUAAUACAUGCAAGUCGAGCGAACAGACGAGGAGCUUGCUCCUCUGACGUUAGCGGCGGACGGGUGAGUAACACGUGGAUAACCUACCUAUAAGACUGGGAUAACUUCGGGAAACCGGAGCUAAUACCGGAUAAUAUAUUGAACCGCAUGGUUCAAUAGUGAAAGACGGUUUUGCUGUCACUUAUAGAUGGAUCCGCGCCGCAUUAGCUAGUUGGUAAGGUAACGGCUUACCAAGGCAACGAUGCGUAGCCGACCUGAGAGGGUGAACGGCCACACUGGAAAUGAGACACAGUACAGACUCCUACGGGAGGCAGCAGUAGGGAAUCUUCCGCAAUGGGCGAAAGCCUGACGAGGCAACGCCGCGUGGGUGAUGAAGGUCUUCGGAUCUUAAAACUCUGUUAUUAGGGAAGAACAAAUGUGUAAGUAACUAUGCACGUCUUGACGGUACCUAAUCAGAAAGCCACGGCUAACUACGGG
This 497-nucleotide ribosomal RNA is filed under the name uncultured bacterium. Its description in RNAcentral is "partial 16S ribosomal RNA". It matches the Rfam family "Bacterial small subunit ribosomal RNA", at positions 28 to 507 of the family's 1533-position model. The record is from RNAcentral.